RNAcentral lists this ribosomal RNA (509 nucleotides) under uncultured bacterium. RNAcentral describes it as "bacterial SSU rRNA". It matches the Rfam family "Bacterial small subunit ribosomal RNA", at positions 36 to 518 of the family's 1533-position model. The record is from RNAcentral.
CUGGCGGCGUGCCUAAUACAUGCAAGUCGAACGGUCUUUCUAUGGAAGCUUGCUUCCACUGAGAAGAUAGUGGCGAACGGGUGAGUAACACGUGGGUAACCUGCCCAUAAGAGGGGGAUAACAUCCGGAAACGGGUGCUAAUACCGCAUAGUUUUCUUGAUCGCAUGAUUGAGAAAGGAAAGACGGCCUUUGUGCUGUCGCUUAUGGAUGGACCCGCGGCGUAUUAGUUAGUUGGUGAGGUAAUGGCUCACCAAGACGAUGAUACGUAGCCGACCUGAGAGGGUGAUCGGCCACAUUGGGACUGAGACACGGCCCAAACUCCUACGGGAGGCAGCAGUAGGGAAUCUUCCGCAAUGGACGAAAGUCUGACGGAGCAACGCCGCGUGAGUGAAAGAAGGUUUUCGGAUCGUAAAACUCUGUUGUCAGAGAAGAACAAGUUGGAGAGUAACUGCUCCAGCCUUGACGGUAUCUGACCAGAAAGCCACGGCUAACUACGUGCCAGCCGCCGC